RNAcentral lists this transfer RNA (75 nucleotides) under Streptomyces tendae. RNAcentral's name for it is "tRNA-OTHER". RNAcentral also lists the same sequence under 1 other name. The record is from RNAcentral. Lineage: Bacteria; Bacillati; Actinomycetota; Actinomycetes; Kitasatosporales; Streptomycetaceae.
GUCCCCGCAGGUCACGGCCCCGUCCAUGAGGAACUCCUGCGGGUGUCGCAGGUUCGAAUCCUGCCGGGGGCACCA